This is a long non-coding RNA of Nematolebias whitei (Rio pearlfish), 639 nucleotides long. RefSeq lists it as uncharacterized. NCBI's taxonomy places the organism in Eukaryota, Metazoa, Chordata, Actinopteri, Cyprinodontiformes, Rivulidae. The record is from RefSeq and is a predicted model, not a curated record. The transcript is spliced from 2 exons.
GAAAGUCUCUGUGUCUUCACUGUAACGGAGUGGCUGCUGUGUCCUCAGUGAUAGAUCAGGUUUAGGGGGGGGGCACUAGUAGCAGGCAGGCUGCAGCCACCAACCAGCUGGAUGUGUGUUAACUCCACAUCUGACCUCUAUGGGAAACACAGCAGCCUCCUCUCCUCUCCUCUCUCCUGGAGCCGUGACUGUGGGAACAAGGGGGGACACAGCGUCACCCCUCCCUCCUCCUCCUUUUCCUCCUCCUCCUUCUGUCUCAGCUUCUUGCUGUGUGGAGCUCAGAGAUCUGGCUCUGGACAGAGCUCAAGACAUGACAGACACCCUGGCUCUGAGGAUUGCACUGACGAGUGACUUUUUGGGGCUGGAUUGAUUCAGUGAGAUUUUCAGUUCGUCAACCAGACGGUUAGUUAGGCAGCCAGUAAACCAGUCACCAGGAUCCUUCCCACAUACCUCUCCCACUGUGCGAAUAUCCUCAUCUGAACCCUCUGAUGUGACUCAGGUUUAACCAGGACUUCUGGGCACGGUCACAGGUGCUCCACAUCUGCUGCGGAAGAAGAUCUUCGUAAGAGCAUCUGGAGACCAAAAAGGAUGUAGCACUAAAAAAAAAAAAAGAAAGAAAGAAAGAAAGAAAGAAAGAAA